This is a long non-coding RNA of Aedes aegypti (yellow fever mosquito), 429 nucleotides long. RefSeq lists it as uncharacterized. The record is from RefSeq and is a predicted model, not a curated record. NCBI's taxonomy places the organism in Eukaryota, Metazoa, Arthropoda, Insecta, Diptera, Culicidae. The transcript has 2 exons.
CUAUAAAAGUGAUGAUGAUAGCUUUGAUCUGCAUCAGUUGUUUUCUAAUCGGUUUUCAUUUAGUGUCGUUUUGAGCGGAAGUGUUGAUUGUCGCGGUUCAUGAUGAAGAUUACAGUGUUUUUCAUAAUCAGUACUUUGUGCUUGGUAGCAUUCGCCCAGGAUCAUUCCGAGCAGCAACAUGAUGAAGAGGCUAGCAAUCCUGCACUAGCAGCACUACUAGAGCAGACUGCCAAUCAGUUCGAAGUUCAAUCCGGUUCAGCGGAAGAAAAUGAUAUGGACGGAGCAGAAAGCCGUUACGGUUACUCGUGGCGCCGCAAGGGCCGAAAAUGGCAUGGUUGAAUUGAUCUGGGUUAGGAUUAUGACUACAACAAGAAUGUGAAAAUUUCAAAAAUAAAUCUAUUGAAAAAUUUACGUGAUUUCGACCUUUGA